Molecule: ribosomal RNA, 253 nt
Filed under: uncultured bacterium
Lineage: Bacteria
Description: partial 16S ribosomal RNA
Rfam family: Bacterial small subunit ribosomal RNA
Source: RNAcentral
UACGAAGGGGGCUAGCGUUGUUCGGAAUUACUGGGCGUAAAGCGCGCGUAGGCGGCCCCGUAAGUCCGCUGUGAAAGUCAAAGGCUCAACCUUUGAAAGCCGGUGGAUACUGUGGGGCUAGAGUACGGAAGAGGCGAGUGGAAUUCCUGGUGUAGCGGUGGAAUGCGCAGAUAUCAGGAGGAACACCAAUAGCGAAGGCAGCUCGCUGGGACGUUACUGACACUGAGGCGCGAAAGCGUGGGGAGCGAACAGG